This 253-nucleotide ribosomal RNA is filed under the name uncultured bacterium. RNAcentral describes it as "partial 16S ribosomal RNA". It matches the Rfam family "Bacterial small subunit ribosomal RNA", at positions 524 to 776 of the family's 1533-position model. The record is from RNAcentral.
UACGUAGGGGGCCAGCGUUGUCCGGAAUCAUUGGGCGUAAAGCGCGCGUAGGCGGCCAGAUAAGUCCGGUGUGAAAGUCAAAGGCUCAACCUUUGAAUGCCGCUGGAAACUGUCUGGCUUGAGUCCGGGAGGGGCGAGUGGAAUUCCUGGUGUAGCGGUGAAAUGCGUAGAUAUUGGGAGGAACACCGGUGGCGAAGGCGGCCCCCUGGACCGGUACUGACGCUGAGGCGCGAAAGCGUGGGUAGCAAACGGG